AGCGAACGCUGGCGGCAUGCUUAACACAUGCAAGUCGCACGGGCAGCAAUGUCAGUGGCGGACGGGUGAGUAACGCGUAGGAACGUGUCCUGAGGUGGGGGACAACCCCGGGAAACUGGGGCUAAUACCGCAUAUGGGCUGAGGCCCAAAGCCGAGAGGCGCCUUUGGAGCGGCCUGCGUCCGAUUAGGUAGUUGGUGGGGUAAAGGCCUACCAAGCCUGCGAUCGGUAGCUGGUCUGAGAGGACGACCAGCCACACUGGGACUGAGACACGGCCCAGACGCGUAGGGGAGGAGGAGGUAGGGAAGAUGGGAAAGGGGGGGAAAGCGUGAUCAACGAGGGGGGGGUGGAGAAAGGGGGUCUGCGAGCCUCAAAGCCGUUGCGAGGGGAAUGAUGGUGGAGGGACCGGUAGAACAGGCCCCGCCUAACUGCGCGCGAGCAGCGGGGUGAAUAAUGGGAGAGCAACGUCCGAAC
Molecule: ribosomal RNA, 472 nt
Filed under: uncultured bacterium
Lineage: Bacteria
Description: partial 16S ribosomal RNA
Rfam family: Bacterial small subunit ribosomal RNA (bases 20-302)
Source: RNAcentral